RNAcentral lists this ribosomal RNA (427 nucleotides) under uncultured bacterium. Its description in RNAcentral is "bacterial SSU rRNA". It matches the Rfam family "Bacterial small subunit ribosomal RNA", at positions 355 to 774 of the family's 1533-position model. The record is from RNAcentral.
UAGGGAAUAUUGGACAAUGGGGGCAACCCUGAUCCAGCCAUGCCGCGUGAGUGAAGAAGGCCCUCGGGUUGUAAAGCUCUUUUGUCCGGAAAGAAAAGCUUCGGGUUAAUACCCCGGGGUUCUGACGGUACCGGAAGAAUAAGCACCGGCUAACUUCGUGCCAGCAGCCGCGGUAAUACGAAGGGUGCAAGCGUUACUCGGAAUUACUGGGCGUAAAGCGUGCGUAGGUGGUUGUUUAAGUCUGAUGUGAAAGCCCUGGGCUCAACCUGGGAAUGGCAUUGGAAACUGGGCAGCUAGAGUGCUGUAGAGGGUAGUGGAAUUCCCGGUGUAGCAGUGAAAUGCGUAGAGAUCGGGAGGAACAUCUGUGGCGAAGGCGACUGCCUGGACCAGCACUGACACUGAGGCACGAAAGCGUGGGGAGCAAACA